Non-coding RNA from Chloroflexi bacterium RBG_16_48_8, 158 nucleotides. NCBI's taxonomy places the organism in Bacteria, Bacillati, Chloroflexota. The record is from Rfam.
UGGGAAAAGUCUAUUUCGCCCAAGACAGCAGGUGCAUCCUGAACGUUGGGGCUUAAUACCCUGCCGAGGUGAAGACCUAUAGAAAACGGCUGAAUCAUGUCGUUGAGUAAGGUGUCUUCGCUUCGGUUGGAUAGGAGCGAAGAUUUCUAUUGUGGAAG